Pelobates cultripes (western spadefoot toad) is the source of this 432-nucleotide non-coding RNA. The record is from the annotation of a GenBank genome assembly. NCBI's taxonomy places the organism in Eukaryota, Metazoa, Chordata, Amphibia, Anura, Pelobatidae.
GUAAUUACAUGACACGUAAAGCUGGAAAUGCAGUAUAUCCAGAGGGAGAUUGAUAAUUAGGUGAACUAACAAUAUAAAGUAUGUGAACAUAAUGCCACAUGCACAGAGCAUAAGUUGGAACAGGGUUAAAGUAGACAGUGAGGAGGUGUGAUGGAGGUGGUGAAGUUUACAGACAGAUGUUUUCUGGUUAGUUGGUAUGCUUCCCUAAACAUAUUGUUUGUUAUGGAUUUUUUUAAAGAACCAGAGACUUGGAAAUUCUAAUGGCGUGAGGAAUGGCAUUCCAGAAAUAUGGAAAAUCCUGGAGAACUCACAGAAGAAAGACUUUGUGUUGAGAGUGCAAUACUGAAUACUGAAGACGUUUUCAUAAUUAGAAUUCUAAAGAAUUUUGUAAGUGCAUAGACAUCAGGGGCGUACCUAGAGCAUUUGGCACCC